RNAcentral lists this long non-coding RNA (1224 nucleotides) under Phasianus colchicus (ring-necked pheasant). Its description in RNAcentral is "lncRNA (ENSPCLG00000001595.1)". Lineage: Eukaryota; Metazoa; Chordata; Aves; Galliformes; Phasianidae. The record is from RNAcentral.
UGGCCAUUGGGACGCCUGGGGAGACUUGCCAAGCUGCCAAAAUAUUUGGACACCCAAAUGCUAGUGUUCAAACGCAUUUCUCCAUCAGGAUUCUGACUUCAUCCUCCUACUGCAUAUUUCUGCACCAUGUCCUUGCUUUCUGUCCUUGCAUCGUGACGCGUACCGGUGCGGCUUCGUGCCCCAUCGGAGAUGGUUAUCAGCACAAUGAUUUAAUGCCAAGCAAUGCAAGCAGGCAGUGUAAUGUCAGUGCUAUCUCUGCUCUCACCCCUCCAGCACUUUCAUAUCCUGCCGUGGUAACGCAAAGGAUUAAAGCAAAGAUGGGAGUGCUGAUGGAAGGGAGUGGUGUUGAUCUCAUCUCGUGUGCUGGUCCCACACUCCGCACCCAUUACAAUGAAAGAUCUUGUUCUGCAAGCACCACGGCUGAAAUAAAGGAGCUGUAUCUUCAUCACAGCCAUUUCUUCUAUCAAGGAGCUCCCAUGGGACAUCUCUCAGGAAAACAAGGAUGCAUCGGAGAACCGGCAACACAUCUCCACCAGAUAAUUAGAUUGAAAGAAAACCACCCCUCUGAAGACAAUGAGAUGAUAAAAGAGAUCAAGGUCCCUGGGAAAACUUAAUCCUCCGCUGUUUUCCAUUACUUCUCAGGUUAUUUCACUCUGCUAUUAAGAAAUUUGAUGUGCUGAUGAGUAGGAGAGAAAGCUUCCGGACUUGGAGGAAAAAAAAAAUGUUGUGUUGUGUGAGGACAGUCUAUUAAAGAUUCAGCAAUUGUACAAACCCCACAGGUAGAGAGUCCCCUGGGAUUUCUGGUAGAACAAGGCUGAUGAAAGCCUGGCACUGGAGGCAUCCUGCAACCACCCUCAAAAACAGAAGAUAGGAACUUCUCUUGUGUAACUGGUGAUAGGACUAGAGGGAAUGGUUUCAAGCUGCGCCAGGGAAGAUUCAGGCUGGAUAUUAGGAAAUACUACUUCUCUGAAAGGGUGGUCAGGCACUGGAAUGGGCUGCACAGGGAGGUGGUGGAGUCACCGACCCUGGAGGUGUUCAAGGAACGUUUGGAUGUUGUGUUGAGGGAUAUGGUUUAGCGAGAACCAUUGGUGAUAGGUGGAUGGUUGGACUGGAUGAUCUUAUAGGUCUUUUCCAACCUUAGUGAUUCUGUGAUUCUGUGAUUCUGUGAAUACAGACCUGCCUCUCCACCCAAACCCAACGCUGGUAUGUGUCUCAUUGACCACC